UGCUUUCUCUUGGGCCUGCACCUGGCACAGCCACUGAUGCAGUUUCUGAUUCACCUUGGCAAUGACAGUGGCAAUCCCAGCAGCCACAGGCAGCUUCCACAUCAGCAGUCACAUCUACAUGCCAACCAGGCAGCUCUCACAGGUCCCAGGUUCUGGGUAGCCAGCCUUCCUGCCUCUUCCCCAAGCCACCCAUUACCCAUCCUUCCAGGAAGAGCUGCAAUCACCUGAGAUGCCUUAUACAGUUUCUAAUGAAGCAUUCAAUGACAAAGGUCAUGCCUGUCCCCUUAAAAACUCAUUUCUUUCAUAUUUUAAGCAAUACUAACAACACAAUACCUGGUUUAAGGUUUUGUUUUCAACAAGUCCUUUAUUGCAGUAGUUUACAUCACUGUACUAGAACACAGAGAAAUAUUCUAGGAUGGAUAAUUAUAAGGAAAUUCAUAAAAAAGGAACGCGCAAGCCCCAGCCCAGUCCGCGGGCGCCACUCCGGCUCCAGGGCGAGGACGCAGCUACUCACCGCUCGCCGCCCGUCACCUCUCCUUACUGGACCCCGAUCGCUGGAACGGCUCACGGAUUAUUUAAAAGCCGGCUCCGGAGAUCCCCGGGACGGCUUCCCGAGAGCCCGCCCCGCUGCCCCGCCCGCCAGCCCGGACGGGAACGGACCGCGGGUCAGCAGGACCCCGGACCCUGCGGGAGGCAGCCGAACCCAGACACCCGGCGAAGACCUGUUGCGGCCUCCCCCUGUCCCCGACCAACUUCCAGAGAUGGAGCUGCCGGGACGGGGGUGACCCUUAAACGUACUCACCGGCUACGGCCGAGCUGAGCGCGGGACCAGGGGCUGGGUCCCGACCCGCACGGUAAUUUAAAUAUCGCCAAGCCUCGGCCUCCGGCCGCGCUCUGAUUGGUCGGCCGAGCAGGCGGUCAGGCUGCCCCGAGGGCACCCACCGGACCCCGCGGAACUUCACUUCCUGCGCCUGGAACCCGGCCCCUGCACACCCUGCUCGGGACACGUCGCCUUGCACCCGACCAGAGCCCUCUCCUCGGAAUGCAGCUACCUUCCCGAAAACUCCAGGUUCCCAGGCGCCUCCGGUGACUCCUCCGGGCCUUUAGACUCUGUGGCCUGCUCCGAAGGCGUUGUUUGUGAAACAAAACUAAAGGAAAGCCAAACCACAGGGGUGGGGGUGCAGCGCUUGAAUACCAUGCACGUGGCCUUGGGUUCUCCUCGCAGCACCCAGACAAAACACAACAAAACUAGUUUGGUUCCUUAGUGUGUGUCUUUGCAUUGCUUAGUUACUGGACUCAUAAAAAGGACUGAGCUGUGAAAAGGGCAUCUGCUAACGCUCAGAGCACACUACAUCCGAUCCGAUCGCUGGGUGCAUAUGGGCCUCCUGGACUGACGGCGUCUGAGAAUCUUCACCCCUGCUGGCGUUGCGCUGAGCCAUGGAAAGCCAGAAGUAACCAUCCUUGUGACUCCCCUCCUACUGGGCGCCACGUCCUCACUCACCACUUCCUUUCUGGAAUUGAGGAUACAGUGGCCCUUUUUGUCUGCCCACAUCUGUGGAUUCAACAGAAUGCUGGAGAUCACACGCUAAGCAAGCACCUUUCUGCAGCAUGACACCCACAGCGCAGCAGCACUCGGUGGAUUCCUUACAGCCUUGCCCCGCACGCUGCUUCUCUAGGCUCUCAGGACGCAGCGCAGUUGAUUCACAGUGGGGAAAUUGUCUUGAGCAGAAUGGAGUCACUCGUGGCACGCUCACACUGAUGGAUUCAGGCUUCCAAGGGUGGGUCCUGGAGAGGAUCGCCUAGCAACAGGAACUUUCAUGAAAGACGUUGCCAAAAC
This 1837-nucleotide long non-coding RNA is filed under the name Heterocephalus glaber (naked mole-rat). RNAcentral's name for it is "lncRNA (ENSHGLG00100051306.1)". Lineage: Eukaryota; Metazoa; Chordata; Mammalia; Rodentia; Bathyergidae. The record is from RNAcentral.